CAACAAAGAGGAAUAAGAAAGAAAAAAAAGGAAGAAGAAGAAGAAAAAUAAAGAGAGAAAGAAGAAAUAAAAAAAUAAGAAAAGGAGAGAAAAGAAAAAAUGAAAAAAGAAGAAGAAGAAGAAGAAGAAAAAUAAAGAGAGGAAGAUAAAAUAAAAAGAUAAGAAAAGGAGAGAAAAGAAAAAAAGAAAAAAAAAAGAAAGAAGAAAAAGAAAGGCAUGAGAGAGAGAAAAAAAGAUAAGAAAGAAAAUAAAAAUAAAGAGAAGGAAAAGAGAAAAAAAAAAAAAUAGAUGUGUCAAUCAAGACUUUACCUUACCCUCACAACUUGAAAC
Molecule: long non-coding RNA, 330 nt
Filed under: Lathyrus oleraceus (garden pea)
Lineage: Eukaryota; Viridiplantae; Streptophyta; Magnoliopsida; Fabales; Fabaceae
Description: Pisum sativum (pea) long non-coding RNA (PSAT_LNC008531)
Source: RNAcentral